RNAcentral lists this transfer RNA (73 nucleotides) under Phycisphaerae bacterium. RNAcentral describes it as "tRNA-Thr". It matches the Rfam family "tRNA". Rfam says of the family: Transfer RNA (tRNA) molecules are approximately 80 nucleotides in length. Their secondary structure includes four short double-helical elements and three loops (D, anti-codon, and T loops). Further hydrogen bonds mediate the characteristic L-shaped molecular structure. tRNAs have two regions of fundamental functional importance: the anti-codon, which is responsible for specific mRNA codon recognition, and the 3' end, to which the tRNAs corresponding amino acid is attached (by aminoacyl-tRNA synthetases). tRNAs cope with the degeneracy of the genetic code in two manners: having more than one tRNA (with a specific anti-codon) for a particular amino acid; and 'wobble' base-pairing, i.e. permitting non-standard base-pairing at the 3rd anti-codon position. RNAcentral also lists the same sequence under 1 other name. Lineage: Bacteria; Pseudomonadati; Planctomycetota; Phycisphaerae. The record is from RNAcentral.
GCCACCGUAGCUCAAUUGGCAGAGCAGCGGUUUUGUAAACCGCAGGUUAUGAGUUCGAGUCUCAUCGGUGGCU